Molecule: unclassified non-coding RNA, 180 nt
Filed under: uncultured Exobasidium
Lineage: Eukaryota; Fungi; Basidiomycota; Exobasidiomycetes; Exobasidiales; Exobasidiaceae
Description: sequence contains ITS2
Source: RNAcentral
AACUCUCCAAUUCUAUAGUUUUUUCUAUAGAAUCUGGGUCCUUGGGUUUGCAUGGGUACCCCAUGCUUACCUUAAAUGUAUUAGCUGAAUACCAGCAGGGUUGUUAAGUUUUUUUCACCCUCGGAAGAAGGUAUUUGCUUCCAAUCUGCGCUGUCUUUUGUAGACAGGCAUUUUGUAUCU